AAAAAAAAAAAAAAGGAAAAAAGAAAAGUCAUACUUUAUGGCCUGGAGAGAUGGCUCUGUGGGUAAGAGCACCGACACCUCUUCCAAAGGUCAUGAGUUCAAAUCCCAGCACCCACAUGGCGGCUCACAACCAUCUGUAAAGAGAUCUGAUGUCCUCUCCUGGUGUCUCUGAAGACAGCUACAGUGUACUUACAUAUAAUAAAUAAAUCUUUAAAAAAAAAUUAAUUAUGGUCAGGCGGUGGCACACACCUGCCGGGGAGACGGACUAACCCCCAGAAAGAGACAGUUUUGCUCUGGUCCAGUGGGGAGAAGCUGACUAGAAGCCACUGCAGGCUCUGCGGUGCUCAGGCUCCUGGCUGUUCCGGCUCCUGCUUGCUUCCUCCUGUGGGCAGGAGGCUCGCUCCCCACCGUUCCUCAGCUAGCAGGGCCAGAGGCCACACCAGCCAAGUGACACACCUGAGAUCCUUGGAAGGCAGCCACUAGGGCCCAGGAGGAAGUUCUUACAGCAACUUACCCGUCACUCAGGGGUCAGAAGGACCGGGGCUCCUCCAGCCCCUUGCCUCAGUCCGUUGUCCAGGUGGAAGAAAAACCUGACAACAGAGGAAGCCACGCCCACCCUCCCUGCUGCAGCCUGGGCCCUGCUAGCCUGAGCUGAGAGGCCAGUGAAGUUCAGUGUUCACAUGUUCUGUGGCUCCAGGCCUGAGAGUGAAGCCAAAUAGUUUCCCUGUGCAGAUGCCUCUCAAAGUUCAGAGCAGUUGGAGUGCCUUGUUUUCCCCGGCUGAAAUGCAGAACUGAGAACCACAGACUCCUCCAGAAGGCUCCUCCGCUGGCUGCUGUGGACAGAGGCAGGAUUCAGCCUGCAGAGCUGCAGGGAAGAGCACACUAAGGAGACACUCGGAUCCCGAGACCCUACCACAAUAACCUAGUUACUCCCACAACUGACCUUUGAAAGUCAGGGUCUUGCUAUGUGGCCGGGCAUGGCUUAGAACGCUCUAUACAGACCAGUCUAGCCUAGAAUUCACAGACGUUCGCCUGCCUGUUCCUUUCAUGUAGAGACUAAAGGUGUGGGCCCCCAAGUGGGUGCUGGAUGGAGCCCAGGGAACUGUGAGGGUGGUGCCCACCGAUUUGCAGUCCCCCCCACCCCCACCCUCGUUUGGGGAGCUGGGCUCAAGCGGUCUUUAUGCUUCAGUUGCUGAGGGUCCAGGACAUUGUUCUUUUCGGAGAAGUCACCUGAAGGCUCAGGGCCACCCUUGGUAGGGGGCAGGAAGGCGAAGGGUUGUUGUCCACUAUUCCCCGUGUUUCUCCUUAUCUCUGGGUCACUGGACCAUACUCCAGGAUGUCUGCUUCUGUCCCCACACCCUGGCCCCCUACCACCUACCCAACACCCACACUUUUGUCUUCUCAGCCUUCUGCCCAU
Apodemus sylvaticus (European woodmouse) is the source of this 1417-nucleotide long non-coding RNA. RefSeq lists it as uncharacterized. The record is from RefSeq and is a predicted model, not a curated record. The transcript is spliced from 3 exons. NCBI's taxonomy places the organism in Eukaryota, Metazoa, Chordata, Mammalia, Rodentia, Muridae.